AUUCAGUUUAGGGUUUAAAACCCUAAUGCUGAUUGCAUGGAAAACUCAGUUUAGGGUUUAAAACCCUAAUGCUGGCUGAAUGGAAAAAAGUCCAGUUUAGGGUUUAAAACCCUAAUGCUGAUUGCAUGGAAAAGCUCAGUUUAGGGUUUAAAACCCUAAUGCUGGCUGAAUGAAAAAAAGUUCAGUUUAGGGUUUAAAACCCUAAUGCUGUCUAAAGGAAAAAUUCAGUUUAGGGUUUAAAACCCUAAUGCUGAUUGCAUGGAAAAGCUCAGUUUAGGGUUUAAAACCCUAAUGCUGGCUGAAAGUAAAAAAAUUCAGUUUAGGGUUUAAAACCCUAAUGCUGACUAAAGGAAAAAUUCAGUUUAGGGUUUAAAACCCUAAUGCUGAUUGCAUGAAAAAGCUCAGUUUAGAGUUUAAAACCCUAAUGCUGGCUGAAUGGAAAAAAAGUUCAGUUAGGGUUUAAAACCCUAAUGCUGAUUAAAGGAAAAAAAAGUUCAGUUUAGGGUUUAAAACCCUAAUGCUGACUAAAGGAAAAAUUCAGUUUAGGGUUUAAAACCCUAAUGUUGAUUGCAUGGAAAAGUUCAGUUUAGGGUUUAAAACCCUAAUGCUGGCUGAAAGGAAAAAAAGUUCAGUUUAGGAUUUAAAACCCUAAUGCUGACUAGAGGAAAAAUUCAGUUUAGGGGUUUAAAACCCUAAUGCUGAUUGCAUGAAAAAGCUCAGUUUAGGGGUUUAAAACCCUAAUGCUGGCUGAAUGGAAAAAAAGUCAGUUAAGGUUUAAAACCCUAAUGUUGAUUAAAGGAAAAAGGUCAGUUUAGGGUUUAAAACCCUAAUGCUAACUGCAUGGAAAAGCUCAGUUUAGGGUUUAAAACCCUAAUGCUGGCUGGCUGGGGACAAAGUUCGAGAAUACUAAACGACCUUUUUUUUUUGAAUUUUCUUGUUUUAGUAGAAGAUAAAAGGGAGUUUCGUGGGAACUUACCUUUCGAGUGAAUUCAUCAUUGCCAAAGUAUUUCUUGUACCCGUGUACCUUCUUCUUUGGGCGACACCUGCUUCUUGCACGGUUGUCUUGGAUUAUACCUGUUUC
RNAcentral lists this long non-coding RNA (1081 nucleotides) under Nicotiana tabacum (common tobacco). Its description in RNAcentral is "long non-coding RNA (NTAB_LNC011347)". The record is from RNAcentral. Lineage: Eukaryota; Viridiplantae; Streptophyta; Magnoliopsida; Solanales; Solanaceae.